GGGAGCUGCGGCGUUCAUUCAGGCAUGUGUCAUCUUUGUGCUCCCACUGUGUGGUUCGCGUCCGGUGGACUCUGGCAGCGGAAAGCAACAAAUCGCUGGCUGUUGCUGAGGUCCGGUGUUGGUGUGGUGACGGUGUCUUCCUCUUCUGCGUGCUGUGAUUCUGGAGUUUGGGUUGUCUCACUGCGUCUGGUGUUAAAGGAUUUUUUUUAUUUACUGUGUUUGGUGGAUGUCGUCCCCAUAGCGCCCCCUCCGGCCGGUAACCUCAGCUGCUGCAGCUCUUCUAUUUUCUUUGAUUUCCUUUGAUUUCUUUUGUUUCAUU
Poecilia latipinna (sailfin molly) is the source of this 319-nucleotide long non-coding RNA. RefSeq lists it as uncharacterized. The transcript has 2 exons. The record is from RefSeq and is a predicted model, not a curated record. Lineage: Eukaryota; Metazoa; Chordata; Actinopteri; Cyprinodontiformes; Poeciliidae.